UACAGAGGUCUCAAGCGUUGUUCGGAUUCAUUGGGCGUAAAGGGUGCGUAGGCGGCGCGGUAAGUCGGGUGUGAAAUCUUGGAGCUUAACUCCGAAACUGCAUUCGAUACUGCCGUGCUUGAGGACUGGAGAGGAGACUGGAAUUUACGGUGUAGCGGUGAAAUGCGUAGAUAUCGUAAGGAAGACCAGUGGCGAAGGCGGCUUCCUGGCUCAUUUCUGACGCUGAGACGCGAAAGCGUGGGGAGCAAACAGG
RNAcentral lists this ribosomal RNA (253 nucleotides) under uncultured bacterium. RNAcentral's name for it is "partial 16S ribosomal RNA". It matches the Rfam family "Bacterial small subunit ribosomal RNA", at positions 524 to 776 of the family's 1533-position model. The record is from RNAcentral.